RNAcentral lists this ribosomal RNA (454 nucleotides) under uncultured Porphyromonadaceae bacterium. Its description in RNAcentral is "partial 16S ribosomal RNA". It matches the Rfam family "Bacterial small subunit ribosomal RNA", at positions 341 to 792 of the family's 1533-position model. Lineage: Bacteria; Pseudomonadati; Bacteroidota; Bacteroidia; Bacteroidales; Porphyromonadaceae. The record is from RNAcentral.
ACGGAAGGCAGCAGUGAGGAAUAUUGGUCAAUGGGCGGAAGCCUGAACCAGCCAAGUCGCGUGAAGGAAGACGGUUCUAUGGAUUGUAAACUUCUUUUGCAUGAGGGUAAAGUGAUCUACGUGUAGGUUAUUGCAAGUAUCAUGUGAAUAAGCAUCGGCUAACUCCGUGCCAGCAGCCGCGGUAAUACAGAGGAUGCGAGCGUUAUCCGGAUUUAUUGGGUUUAAAGGGUGCGUAGGCGGGAUAUUAAGUCAGCGGUGAAAGUUUGCGGCUCAACCGUAAAAUUGCCGUUGAAACUGGUGUCCUUGAGUGUAAACGAGGUGGGCGGAAUGUAACGUGUAGCGGUGAAAUGCUUAGAUAUGUUACAGAACUCCGAUUGCGAAGGCAGCUUACCAGCAUACAACUGACGCUGAGGCACGAAAGCGUGGGUAUCAAACAGGAUUAGAUACCCUGGUA